ACGUCUCAGUUCGGAUUGCAGGCUGCAACUCGCCUGCAUGAAGUCGGAAUUGCUAGUAAUCGCAGAUCAGCAUGCUGCGGUGAAUACGUUCCCGGGCCUUGUACACACCGCCCGUCACACCAUGGGAGUCGGUAACACCCGAAGUCGGUAGCCUAACCGUAAGGAGGGCGCCGCCGAAGGUGGGAUUGAUGACUGGGGUGAAGUCGUAACAAGGUAUC
Molecule: ribosomal RNA, 218 nt
Filed under: uncultured bacterium
Lineage: Bacteria
Description: partial 16S ribosomal RNA
Rfam family: Bacterial small subunit ribosomal RNA
Source: RNAcentral